AGAAACAGUUCAAGGUAUUUGUCUAUGAAGAAGGGGAGGUACCAAUUUUCCAUAAUGGACCUUGCAGAAGCAUAUAUUCAUCAGAGGGAAAUUUCAUCAAUGCUAUUGACAUGAAUGACCAUUUCAGAACAAGGGAUCCUGAAAAAGCACACGUAUUUUUCCUUCCUUUCAGUAUAACAAAUAUGGUCCAAUAUCUCUAUGUACCUGAUUCUCUUGAUCGUAGCCCCAUACAAAAAACUGUGAAGGACUAUGUCAAUCUCAUUGUUCAAAGAUACCCCUUUUGGAACAGAAGCCUAGGAGCUGAUCACUUCAUGCUUUCUUGCCAUCAGGGGCGGACCCACAGCCAAGUCAGGGGUUCAGAUGAACCCCCUGAAAAAAAGAAAAAUUCUACUUACCCCCUGUUAUGUUUUUUUUUUGAACCCCCUGAGAAAUUUAAUUUGCACCCAGACCCCAACUUACUCCUCUCUCUCACACACACUCACAGAGUCACAGACUCACGCUCUCACCCUCUCACGAUUCACGCUCACCACGCCCUCACUCUCUCGCAUUCUCACUAGGUCAUCAAGAUUCAAACACGCACGACACGGCGCAUCACCACCGGCCACCACCACGCCACGCCACCACCGUCCACCAGUCCAGCCGCCCCUCUGCGGCUCUACCCUAGGUGUGACCCCUCAUGGAACCAGAUGCACUCCGUGGAUGUGUUCUGUUGUUGAUUUUUCUGGGUUUCUUCUGGUUAUUUUCUGGGUUUGCAGGUGCUGGAGUUGUUGGGUUUCAAUCUAGGAUGGUGGAUAUGGGAUUUGCAGAUCUGGAUGGUUACUGUUAUGGGUGUAUUUGGGAGGUUUGGGUUUGAAGUAGAAGGUUAAUUCUUGGGGCUACUUGUGGCUCAUUGGGGUAGCUAUGGGGGUUGUGGUUUUUUUUUUGCUGCAGUUGCAAAACCACAGCGAAGCACCUGUAAUUGAUGAAUUACUUUGUCAAAUGCAUCCCUUUCAUUUUUUCAAUGCAGGACCUAGAACCAAAUAAGCAUGUGUUAAAUGAAUUUUUAGAUUUGAUUUGUUCAAGAACAAUUUCAAGUUUCAACGAUGGGUGAUGAAAAAUUGUGGACAGUGGGUGGUUGAAUUUGGUUUUUAAUUCAGCAGGUGAAACUGUGAGUUGUGUUCUUCCAUAAUUAAUUAGAUAAUUUCAAGGGUGAUGGUAUUUUCAAGGGUGGUAAUUGUAAUCCAGCGGAAGUAUUUGAAAAGAGUAAAUAGAGGGCAUGGGAGUGGUUGUGGGCCAGGGAUAAGGAUUUCCUACAUGCUUUUGGAGAAUGGUAUUGCGUGUAUUGCUGAUGAGUUGAGGAUGAUAUUGCUGCAGCAGGAAGGAAAUUUUUAAUCUGAUUAAUGAGUGAUAUGGUUUUGAUGUUAUUGGAAAGGUCAAAGGAGUAGUAAGGUAAGGUAUGAAUAGAUGCAGCGUGUUUAAAUGCUGGGAGACUCUGGCAUCUGAAUUUCAAUUGGCAUGGUGCGGACUAGAAGUGCAUCUUGGAAUUCAUGAAGCUUUGUUAUACAUUGUUGGGAUUCAUUAGCGAUAUUGGGGGCAUGGUCUUGACAACAAUAUGAUAUGUGGCUUUUAAUUGUGAGGAUCUAUGUGAGAAGAAGGUUGAUAGUUUUGCAGGGUUCAUUCUUGGGCAUUUGGCAGAGUUGCGUCAGCUUAAUUGGUUGGUGAAUUUCCAUGGCUAAAAUUGCUGGUGUUAGGAAUCAGCUUUGGCAUUUGAAGAUAGUCUAGACUAUAGUACUCCUUGGAGGUAUCUCUAUGGCUUAAGUAAUUUAGUACUCUUUUUAGUGGUGUAUAAUAAAUCAGUCCUUCUAUUCUAGUCUAUUGUAGUGGGAUUGAUUAAUUUAAUUUCACUUUUGAUGACAAAAAAAAAGUGUGCUUGUAGUCUUCAUUUAAUUACAUUUUUAUCGAUUUACUCAUUUGAAAAAUUUGAACCCCCUGACCCCGGGGUCCUGGAUCCGCCACUGCUUGCCAUGAUUGGGUACAUAGAUAACUAGUGUUACUUAUGCAUAAAUCACAACCCCUUCAUUGUUGAUUUAAGAAAGACUCAUACUAAGUACAUAUAUUUGUCUUUGUAAUCCUUCUAUUUCAGGGGCCUAUGGCUUCAAAGGCUGUUCCUAACUUGUACAAGAAUUCGAUUCGUGUUCUCUGCAAUGCUAACACAACUGAAGGAUUCAAGCCUGGAAAGGAUGUUUCUUUUCCAGAAAUCAAUAUUCUAACCGGUGGUUCAAUAGCCAGUUUGGUUGGAGGUACAUCGGCAUCAAAGCGUUCGGUUUUGGCUUUCUUUGCUGGUGGGCUUCAUGGGCCUAUUAGGCCUGCACUUCUUGAGCAUUGGGAAAACAAAGAUGAAGACAUGCAGGUUCACAAGUACCUUCCAAAGGGUGUUUCCUACUAUGACAUGUUGAGAAAGAGCAAGUUCUGCCUUUGCCCAAGUGGUUAUGAGGUUGCAAGCCCAAGAGUGGUGGAAGCUAUCUACACAGGUUGUGUCCCAGUACUCAUGUCAAAUUCUUAUGUUCCUCCAUUCAGUGAUGUCUUGAAUUGGAAAUCAUUCUCCCUUGAGGUUUCAGUGAAGGACAUUCCUAGGUUGAAGGAAAUUCUUUUGAGUGUUACUCCAAGGCAGUAUAUAAGAAUGCAGAGAAGAGUGGGACAAAUUAGGAGACACUUUGAGGUACAUUCUCCUCCUAGGAGAUUUGACAUGUUCCACAUGGUCCUUCAUUCUGUAUGGCUUAGAAGAUUGAACUUCAGAAUCCACGAUGAUCAAUAACACCACACAAAUUAUUUUCAAGUUAAUUUCAGGUUGGCUUAUAUCAGAUGGUGUGAUUAUUUUUUCUUGUCCUGUAUAAAAUUGUUACAACAAAAAAACAAGGCAAUCAAAUCAAGCCUUUUAGGGGUAGGUGUGUGUUGGCUACAUGGAUAAAAUUGUCAUAGGGAUAAAAGUUUUUUAAUAAUGAAUGUUUCAGAUUCUUGAUGUUUCACACUCUUGUAUCACAUAAAUUAACCAAGCCUUUUGGGAACACAUUUGUCUUUUACUCUUUGGCUACUUGAAAAGCAAAACCUUGGACCCAACCCAAAUAUGCCUAAAACGGUGAAGUAGGUGGUGAAAUAUGUAAGCAUUUAAGAAUGGGAAAUUCAUGCACAUGUCUUCACCUCUUACUACCUCUCAUCAAAAUAAAUACCAUCAACCCUGUUCUAAAGCAAAUUACAAAACAUUAAAAUACCAAAACGAAAUUAUUUUAAUAAUUAAGCGUUUAAUUAGCUAUGUCUAUGAUCAUUAUCUUAACGUAGAAUCUUGACAAUUUAUGUCCAUUUCAAAUGAGAAAUUGCAAAACUAUAUUUAGUACCAAAACGACACGUCUUAAGCAAGAGGAAGUCCAAAACGAAACGUACUUGAAUUGAAAAAUUGCCCACUAGAAUAUCUGACAAAAAUACGGGACCAUUAUUUUAGUGAAUGAAAGUGAUCGGACAACAACAAAGUGUCCCAGUGGGUGUGGUCGUUAAUGAAUAAAAGAAGAAUGCAAGGGUCAAAACGAAAAUACAGAAAGUUGCAUGCAGGGGUUUUGACAGCAAAGUGUAGUGGAGCCAUUGCAUUUAUUACCAACAUCUCUCCUUCCUCUUAAUUCCUUCUAGUUUGUUGUAUGCCAACAAUAACAAACCUCUCUAUUUCUACUUCCUCUGUUUCUCUCUCUGUUUUUUAUUUCUCUCUAUAACACAAAACAGAACCAUGUUUGGUUUCUGCCACCAACAACUACUAUAGGUAGUGAAAAAAAUAUUUACCUCCUUGUUUUGGAAUUCUGAACUUGUGGGGUUUAGGAUUGAGAAGCUCCACCUCUCAUGGGUGGUGACAGUUGGAAUCUUUGUUGUUCAUGGAGGAGUACUUCAAGUUCAAGGACAAGUUCAGGGCCAUUUUCAUCCAUGAAGCUCUUGCUUUUCAUGUUGCCUCUGGUACUUGUUGCUGGGCUAAUUUGUGUAAAGGGUCCUAACCCCUCAAGUUGGUUUGCUACUACCAACCAACCUCUCUUAUUAAACUCUGUUACUCCCUCUGCUUCAAACAGUGGUGGUGGUGGUGGUGGUGGUGGUGGUGGUGUCACUGGUGUGAGCACUGUGGAAUUGGAGGUCCCACCUGUGAAACAGAAAGAAGGGUUAGUGAUGGAAGAUGUUGUGGAUCUUCAAGGGAAAGAGGAGAAAACUAUCCCUGAUGAUAACACUGCCUUCAAUCAGUCCUUUACUUCCCCAGUUUCAGUUCAGGAUCAUGACAUAGCAGUAACACCUCCUGAUCAACCUUCUGUAAGAGCUUGUUUUUCUUUUAAUUAUGUGCUUUCUUUUUAGAUUCUAUCUUCUAAAAGUCAAUAUCACAUGUGGGGAGGGGAUAUAACAUAAAGUAGUAAUAUUGAAGCUUCUUAGAUGAAUUUUGCAAAAAAGUAUGACAUGAUUAUUGAUUAUUAAAACAAGAUAAAAAAGGAACUCAUGAUACUAGAACAGAAUCUAUACCCUUUUAUUAAAUUUUGCAGGAAAAAUGUCGAGAACAAUACAUAAAAUUGAAAGGAUUUUGUUACAUAAUGUUUCCUUUCAAAUUUAGUUGGUACAUAGUUUUUAUUUUUUGUCCCCACACUCCUUUUACAUCUACAUAUGAUAGGUACGACUUCUCUAAAUUAAGAAUCACAAUUAUUGAUUAUUGGUUGAAUUUAUUGAAUUGAUUUUUUUAAGUAGAUAACUAUUAUUAAUGGUUAUGAGGUUUAUUUCACCUCUAAAGUGAUUCAAGCCAAAUCCCAUAUAAUAUAAUAACUUUCCAUUCAUGUUUUUGAGUCAAUUUUGCUGCGUGAAAUGGAGGGUUUGAACUAUAAUAUUGAAUAUUGGUAGCUUGUAUUGUUGCCUUAAUGUAGCUAUCUAUCCAAGGAAUUGGACACGGAUUUCAAACUAAAAGGUAUUAACUAUUCUUUCCGUAUUAGAUAUAAAUAACGUUGUAAUAACGCAAAGAAAUGUGAUUCCACAGUAUGGUCGGGUUUUCGAAUAUUUUAGGUAUUUUAAAACCAGUACUUAGAGUAAUGCUUGCAUGAAGUUAUUUGUAUUUGUUCAAGACUGUGAAUUGGAAAUUGGAAAUAGGGACCAACUGACCAAGUCAGAACACAUUAGGAAUUAAGAUUCUAAACCUAGCCGUCUUUAUGUAUGUUCAAUUGGUAACUUUUCCUUUCAUAGAAAGAAAGGUGUAACACUAACCCUAAAUCUCCUAAGGCUUGGGCCUUAAACAUAAGUGGUCCAAGCGUACAUGAGCUAUAACAAAUGUGUCGCAAUCGCCCACAAGCUAGGGGAGCCGCUUGCCGGAUAAGGGAGAUUGCUUACCGGACGAAAGGCCGCUCAAUACUUCGCAGGCUUCGUAUUCUCAUCUCUGGGCUUCAAACACAACUGGGCACCUCAAACUUUUCGGUGGACCCUUCAUGCCAGGGCCCUUGUAGAGGCAGCCAAGAGAAUGGGUCACCUAGAAGGAUAGGCUGCCCCAAUUUGCAUAUUACAUGAGAAACCCUUCAUCUAGGUCACCCGACCAGUCCAGUAUUCUUAUGAUGCCACUUGGGAUUUAUUUCUUCCAUUUACAAACUUCUAGUAAAAAUCCACUAGUUCCCUUAUACCAUUUUUAUUCUAUAAUAUUCUUGGUCCAAAUUAUGUACUUUCCCCCCUGCACAAGAAACAAUGAUUAUGGAAGAAUUUAUUUAAAAACAAAUUGGUGUCAUUGUCGUUUUCGAAUAGGGGAAAAGGCAGGAAAGGCUAAAUUAUUUUCUCAUGUUUUAUUACUAUGUUGGGUUUUCAAUAGCAACUUGUUCAUUCUAGUUUCUAACACCAUUUAAAUUAACAUCCGAGUGUUAUGAGUUUAAAUAAAUAUUGAUGACCCAUUAAUUUUUUCCUACUAGUUCAAAGAUGUAGAAGGUCUCAAUGUCUCCCAAAAUUGGACCAAUAUAGCCCCUGUGAAUGAAUCUUAUGCUCCUUCAGGGAGACCAAAGCAGCCGAGGAAGUACAACAUCUUAGAUAGAACCGAAGUUGGCCUACUACAAGCUAGAGCUGCAAUAAGAGAAGCAAGAAAUGGGAACCAAACACAAGACAUGGAUUAUGUUCCAGCAGGACCAAUGUACUAUAAAGCUAAUGCAUUUCACAGGUAACAAAUAAUGCAACACUGCUUUAUUUUCUCAUUACAAUUGGCAAUAAUCAGGUUCCUGUAAGGCUGUAAGAUUGUAACUUCCUACCAAUUAAUGAGUGAAUUGGCCUCACCAAUUUUUUCAAUAUGAGAAGCACAAUAAGUAAAACAUAUUACUAACACACAGAACCUUGGACUUUUGACAGGAGUUACUUAGAGAUGGAGAAACAGUUCAAGGUAUUUGUCUAUGAAGAAGGGGAUGCACCAAUUUUCCAUAAUGGACCUUGCAGAAGCAUAUAUUCAACAGAGGGAAAUUUCAUCAAUGCUAUUGACAUGAAUGACCAUUUCAGAACAAGAGACCCUGAAAAAGCACACGUAUUUUUCCUUCCUUUCAGUAUAACAAAUAUGGUCCGAUAUCUCUAUGUACCUGA
RNAcentral lists this long non-coding RNA (6582 nucleotides) under Lotus japonicus. Its description in RNAcentral is "long non-coding RNA (LJAP_LNC001264)". Lineage: Eukaryota; Viridiplantae; Streptophyta; Magnoliopsida; Fabales; Fabaceae. The record is from RNAcentral.